Molecule: long non-coding RNA, 7308 nt
Organism: Capra hircus (goat)
Lineage: Eukaryota; Metazoa; Chordata; Mammalia; Artiodactyla; Bovidae
Exons: 4
Source: RefSeq, a predicted model, not a curated record
CGGGCGGGGGCGAGGCCGGAGCCGCGGCGGCGCCGGAGUGUCCGCGCGUGUCUCCGUCUCUGAGCGUGUCUCUGAGUCUCCGCACGUCUGUCCCCGCGUGCGCCUCGGGGGGAACCCCCGCGUUCGCCCCAGAUCCUCGCGUCCUGGUCGUUCCCGCGCCCCCGCGUCUUCGUCUCUGAUCCUGGUCCCUGGAGGGGUCCGGCACGCUCGCGUCCCUGAAUGUCUGUCCCCCUGUCCGCCCAUCCCGGGGUCUGUCCGUCUUCUCCCUUCCUCUCCCCUCCGUGGCUCCGCCGGUUCUCUUCCGUCUCCGGGAAGCCCUCCCCGGGGCCUCGGUGCCGCGGCCGGCAGUGUAGACAGGGCAGGUCCCCGGCGCCCGAAGGCCUCCCCAGGGCCUCCGUGCGGCGGCCGGCAGUGUGGACAGAGUAGGUCUCCGGCCCCCGAAGCCCUCCUCGGGGCCUCCGUGCGGCGGCCGGCAGUGUGGACAUGUCAGGUCCCCGGCGCCCCUCCCUGGGGCCUCCGUGCCGCUGCCGGCAGUGUGGACAUGUCAGGUCCCCGGCGCCAGAAGCCUUUGUCUCCUCGCGCGGCUCUGCGCUUUCGCUCUGACUGGGGACCUGUUGGACCGUGGGCCCCGAACCCACCCGCUGGGCAGAGGGAGCGGGGCGGCCGCCCCUCGUGCUGUGACUCCGCUCUACGGAGGCCCCGAGUCUUAGAUCUGCCGGAAUGACUUCAUUACCACGUUGUCACCCACUCCCCCUCCCCAGUCUGGGCUGGGGAUUUCUGAGGGGGCGACGGCAGCUUUUGGAGAAGGGAAUAUCCACCUUGGAGAUUCUACGGCCCCGCCUUCAUUCACCGUUGGGGAAACUGGGUCCCAAAGAGCCGAUAUAUCCCCCACCCCCAACCUACCUGAGGUCGCAAGGCUUCCAGACCCUCUCAGCAGGCCACACCCUGGAGGCCGGGUUGAGGGCGGGGAUCAAUUUGCAUCCUCUUUUUUGUGGGGGGCAGGCUGCCCUGGAACGAAGCUUUGCUCACAAGUGCUCACAAGUUGGGGUGAGGGUGGUGGGCAUGAAGGUGAGGUGUCUACAACACAGAGCUGGACGGGGACAUAGGUUUCUCUGGUCUCUUCUGAAAAGGUGUCACUAAGGAGUUUUGAGCAGAAAUGGAAGGAUCCUCAUUCCUCCAUUUAGCAAACGUUGGUUGAGCACCUACUCUGUGCCCGGCUGCAUGCCUGCCAGGCAGGCUGCUUGUCACCUGGCACAGAGUGUCUGAAAUGGGAGGGGUCUGAGCGACCAUCUGCUCCAGGCCCCUCUGCCCUGUUUGCUCAGCCUCUCCUGGCACCCCUCCCCACUCCCCUGUCAGCCCAUUCCUGUGUCCUCUGAGCAUCCUCUGCCCUGUUAGACAGUCCCUGCCCCGAAGGGCCUGCAGCGCCCCAUAAGAACAGUAAUCAUUUGCCCUGGCACCUGGCGUUCCCUGAGCACUCAGUGUGUGCCAGGUGCUCUGUGCAGGCGCCCUCCAUCUGAUACUGACUUUGCCCGAGAGGAGUGUGAUCUGUUUGACUGACGAGGAGCCUGAUGUCCAGAGAGGCCCAGGGACAGCCUGCGAGGAAGCCGUACCACUGGGGCUGACCAUGGUCAGGGCGACCCCGGGGCCUGGCCGCCAGAUAAUCCCUGACCCGGAUAAUCCCAGCCAGGCCGCGUUGCGCCUGCUGUUGUGCUGCAUCUGGGGAGGAGAGCUGCGCCUGCUAGGCCAGGGACGCAGGCCGAUGGUCACGCUGUUGCUGCGUGCCUCCUCCUCACCUCUAGUUGCCCUUCACACAUAAGGCCUCCCCAUCCUACCACCCCUGGCCCCUCAGAACUCAGUCCCUGUCGUGCUCUGGUGCUCUGAGCUUUUAUCCCUGCUGUUUGCUUCUCCUGGGAGGCCACCUGCCCAGCACACUCACCGGCCCUGCAGACAGCUGCAGGUCUGUGUUCGGGCCUCAGCGCUGAUGCUGCCACCCGGGGACGCUUCCUCCGGCCCCCGUCCUGCUGUCUGGGUGCUCAUGUCCAGUGGGUCAUUGGACUGCCGUGGCCCUGUGAUGCUGUCUCCUCAGUUAGCAGGCGACCCCUCCAAGGCCUUGCCCACAUCUGGGACCCCCCACCCCCAGUGCCCAGCACGCAGCACAUGCAGAGCAGGUGUCCGGUGCUCGUUCAGCAAAAGAAGGAAAGGAUUACUCUCUGGACUGGGGAGUGAAGGGCGUGGAUGGCAAGGAGGUUAGGGUCUUCAACUCGUAGAAGGGCUCAUGUUGCCCGUCUCUUUCAGUUUUCGGACGAGAGACGUGAUGUUCAGAGAGGGGCAAGCUAAACAGUGACUUCAUGCCCAGGCAGAGUUAGGGACGACUAGCCUGAGCGCCUGGGCAUGAGCCAGAUCGCUUCCCCAGAGCACUGUGAACAUCCAGUUGCUCGUGUCAUCCUCUCUUCUCCACUUUGCAGCUGGGACAACCUGUUGCAGUUACGAAAUAACUUAAAUCUCCCAGAUUGUUGUUGACUCAACCCUUAGGCUGUUCAGAACCAUGCCGUGCCCUCUGAGGUUGUUUUGAAGGAAACUGCCUGUGCUUCCAGGGAACUUGUGGGCCAAGCUGGCGGCUGGGGUAGCUUGUGCAAGCACCAAGAAUCUCUGAGCUGGGAAGAGUGAGGUGGUCCAAUGCCCAGAUUUUGUGUGAUGCCGACAUCUGGACCAAAGGUGGAAAUAGCCUGAUGCUUCCUCUUGGGACUGGGCCUUCUGAUGGGCCGUGGACGUCCAGCCUGUGUGGACAGGCUCCCUUUAACACGGGCGUCAUGCCGCUGGCCUGUGGUCAAGUCAUAUGGACACAACCUGGGUGUGAACUGUGGAGGGGCGCUGUGAGGGGAGGGGCCUCCUCAUGCUGCCUUUUAUGGUGCCCUGCCUAGGCUGAGCGUUAUAUAUUUUUUAAAUUUUAUUUUAUUGGCUUUUUUUUUUUUUUUUCAAUUUUUUAUGGCCAAAGGCAGCCUGUGAAAUCUUAAUUCCCCAACCAGGAAUUGAACCCACACCCUCAGCGUGAGAGUGCAGAGUCCUAACCCCUGGACCACCAGGAAGUCCCCAGGGCUGAGCAUUUUGAAGCUGCUGGUUCCUGGGCUCUCACCCCUGUUUAGGUGGCCUAGGAGCUUUCUCUUUCUCUGGAGUGCUGCGGUACCAAACGGAGUACUUCCCUUUCACCAUGUCCUUUUAUUCUCAAAUUGCUUCUCUUAAGGUGGGGAUUAUUAAACUCUUCUCUUUGUCCUGGUGGAGAAACACAGGUUCGGCGGUGAAGUGACGUACCCCAGUCCCGUGGCUAGGAAGUGGCAAAAGAAUCUGCCUGAACCCCAGCUCUUAGCAGAGGUGAAGGCCCACACCUGUCCUCAGGUGCACGUGACCCGAUGUAGGCCUGCGUAGCUGCCUGCCGCCAGGUGGCCUGGGGGCGGGCCCAGGUCGAGGUGGGAGAGGUGGUGAGGGGCACAAAGAGGGGACCCCUGUCCGCUGACCAGGACGGGGCGGGGUCAUGCCUCUGAGAGGGGGUCCUGAGGCGGGCAGAACUUGCCAGGCCGGAGCGGGGAGGCUUGAAGGGCGGCCUCGGGAGUUGAGGCUGGAGCGGCGUUUGGGGCUCCGGGUGCCCGGCUGGGACUUGGGUGCUCCCGGGGCCUGCCCUCAGGCCGCUGUGUGGGUGUUUGACUUGAGGACCAGCUGGCACUUAGAGAAGCUGUUGGUCCUGGGGGUGGGGGCUCAGCCCGUCUGCCAUGUGCCGGCUUCGCUGGGCCUUCGCUUCUGUACCUGUGGAGGCAGCUUCUGCUGUUACCCCAGAGGAGGGAACCAGGCUUCAGAGAGGAAAGUGAUUCCCCCAGGGUCACGCAGCUGGGAGCUAGCAGGGCUGGGGUUCUCGGGGUUCCAGCCAAGGCCGGUCAGGCGCCAGGAGCCAUCCUGCAGAGGGUUGAUGGAAUGAGGCCGACAGAGGGCUAAGGGGGCAGUUGCCUUCCCGCGGGCCUCGCCUCUGCGCCGAGCACCUGCACCCGCCACCGCCCCGUGCGUCGGGAAGGUCCUUGCACGCUCCGCUGAGCCUCUGUCUGGCUCUGCGCUGUGUAGCUGGGGCGUCAUGUCGGGCAGGGGAUGUCCUUGGGAGGUGUGGCUGGAGUGGAAGACCUGGGGCCUGUGCCUGCCACCCCUGGGGGCCUCCAUGUCCUCAUCCAUGAAGUGGGGAUGUCAGGGUCCGGAGGGUCGAGGGAAUCGUCAGGGAAAGGACAGGCACAGCCUCACGGGGCGGCGUAGGGCCACAGAAGCCGCGGCAGGACCAGGCCCCGCGCCGCCCCAGCACAGGCUGGCCCUCGGUGCCGCCGUCGUUAUAAUGGGCACAGACCUCUGGCUGUGGAGUUGGGGAGGGACCCGAGCUCCGCAGAUGAUGGCUUCGCCGUAGCUGUGGCUGGUUUUCCGGGGAUCCCUGGGGCCCCCCCAGCGCUGGGGCUGGCUGAGUUGGCCGUGGGCCAGUGCGCGGGGAGGAAGUAUGGCUGUUGGAAUGGCAGGGGGGCCUCUCAGUUCCUGCGCCUAUUUUUAAGGCCUGUGGGUUCCGGCCUCCACCGUUUCUGGGGCUGCUGGUGGGUCCUCUCUCAAGGUCGGGGCGCUGCGUCCUUUCAGAGAGCACUGAGGACACGGGCCUUCACUCUCUAAGGAGACUGAGGCUCGGGGCUGCAGAGAUUCUUGGCAGAGCCAGAGGGUGGUCAGCUGUGUUGGCACCCACCGCCCUCCUCUGCCCUGGGCUGGAGUGACUGCUGUGCCCCUGCCCUGAGGCCUUGCUCAAGGUGCACCCCCUCCUUGAGGCAGUGGCUCCUCAUUUACAUCUGCCUCAAAUACCAGCCAAGCCACCAGGCCCCUGAAGAGAAGCCCAGGGUGGGACACUUGUUUAAAAAAAAAACAAAAACAGCCUCAAAAACCCCCAAACAAAAUUUUUUUUCCAAUUAAAAAAUGUUACAUGCACAAUAUAGAAACUGGAAAAUAUAAGAGAAUGGAAAAAAAAUUACUCAUAGUUCCAGUUAUGCAGAGACACAUGGCAUCACCGACUCAAUAGACAUGAGUUUGAGCAAACUCCGGGAGCUGUUGAUGGACAGGGCUGAACUGAACUUAACUGACACUAUUAACUUUGCAAAGUCUCCAUUUCCAAGCUUUUUGAAGCCCCUUAACAGAUACUUGACAUUCUACACAUAAAGUUUCUUCAUCAUGCUUUCUCACUUAAAAUUCCUAAAACAUUUUCCAUGCUGUUCAGACUCGAAGCAUUAUUUAAAUGACUGCAGGGCAGUUGAGUGGAUGUGCCAUAAUUUACUUAAUUGGUCUUGUCUUGUGGGAAACUUAGUUUGGAUCCAGUUUUUCUCUUCUAUAAACAGCUUGCCACAAGCCUCUUCAUCUGUGCAGAGCUUUCUGCAAGCGGAGGAUUUCUUUGGGCCCCCAGCCCAGGGGGCUGUUUCUUAGAGGUUGCUGUCUGACCCCCGAGGGCCGGACUGAGACCAUGCAUGGAUAUGGCAGGUGGCAGACAGAUGUUUACCAAACUCACAGAGGACUUUCUGAAUUGCCGGGGCAGAACGCUUCCAGGGCAGAUGGUAGUGGCAGGUGGGCGGAGAGGGUGAUGGUUCAUGCUGCCGCCGCGUUCCACCCAGCCCCUUCCCAGACCAGCCCAGACCCUUGCUGGGUCCCCAGCCCCUAGUACCGACUGCCCUCGGCCAUCGGACACCAUCUCCCCUCCAGGGGUGUGUUGCAGGUACCUGCCCCUCAGCCUGGCCAGGCCUGGGUGGGGGUCAGCCCUUCCUGGCACCCCCGCUUCCCGUGGCCGAGUUCUGCCCGCCCCGGACCAUCCCUCACCCCGACCUCGGGUCCCCCUUGGGCUGCACUGCAUCCCCGUGGCUGCCACCCCCGACCGUGUCCUUCUCGACCGUGUCAUUCUCUGCCGCUCACGCCCUGCAAGACUCCUCGAGGCAGCCAAGUCAGAGUGCAAGACCCUUUGUGACCUGGGCCCGCUCGCAGCUGCGCCCCCGUCCGUCCCAUGGUCCUGGGACACUCAGUCACCAGUGCACACGCCUCUGACACUAAGCCACCGAGCUUCGAGGAGGACCGUGCUGCUGUGGUUCAAGACGAGGGAAAUGAAACGGAGAAGCAGACGCAGGAGGAACCAUGAAGCCCUCCUCAAGGCGGACGUAAGAACCAGGCCACCCCACCACCCAGAGCUGCCGUGUCACGCUUGGGGCGGUAGGCUUCACACCCGGCGAGCCCCCCAGCUCUGUCUACAGGUCCGUCCUUCUGAUCCCUAGCAUGUGGAGGCUGGUGCCGCCUCAGGUGGUCCCCAAGGCUGUGCCCCCACUUCCAGGAGGUGGGGCCCUGGGUUUCAGGCUUCCCCCUGACCUGUGGAGGAGGGAGCUGCCCCCUGAGCAGGGCUGCUCAGCUCCUGGGAGUCCUUGUCCCACCCUGCCUCCCUGCAGCAGACCGCGAGGAGUCAAGGGGUCAGCCUAGACCUGAGAGGCUGUGCAGGGAGCGGAGUGGGGAUGAGGUCAUCCCAGUCUGUGUCAGGAGCCCCUCUCCAAGUCUGGGGAGGCCGCUUCCCUCCCCAGAGCAGCCACCGCUCCGUCACUGCGAGCCCAGCCCUGGAUCAUCCCCAUAGCAGCCCGUGGCGAAGGGGAUGUCACCCCUGCUGGCAGACGAAGGUGAUGGGGCUCAGCGAGACGGAGGCCCCUGGUCAGGGUCCCAAGUAAUCCGUGCGGGUUCUGCACCCAGGCCUCCUGGGCUCGAGGCUGUCUGUGCCUGUCCCACGCGGAUAUCCAUUUCUCCAAAGGCAUUUGUGCCUUUUCUUCCCUGUGGCCUCGCCCGGGUCUAGUGUUUUAAGAAGAAGCCCGGCCGCUGCUUUUCACAGCGAAGGACCUCUUAGAAGAAGCGAGAGUGAAGGAGGGAAAUGAAAGAGGAGGACUGCCUGGGAGGGGGCAUUCUUGGGGAGGAAGCCAUGGGGCUGAGCGCUGGAACUGCACAAGGCCGCCCCCACCCCCCCGCCGCAGGCCUCAGACCCUGGGAAGGAGGAGAAAUGAGAGGGGCCGCCCUUGGGGGAGGGGGAGGCGUGUUUGGGGAGCUCUGUGGGCGACACUGAAGGUAGGGCCCCUGAAGCGCCCUGUCUGUUGGCUCUGCCCCCGGCCUGGUCAGGGAGGUGGGCAGGCCUCGAGCCCUAGCUCUCCUAGCUUCCUGCAGCGAGAAGUCGCUCAGUUGUGUCCGACUCUUUGCGACCCCGUGGACUGUAGCCUAUCAGGCUCCUCCCUCCAU